This 253-nucleotide ribosomal RNA is filed under the name uncultured bacterium. RNAcentral's name for it is "partial 16S ribosomal RNA". It matches the Rfam family "Bacterial small subunit ribosomal RNA", at positions 524 to 776 of the family's 1533-position model. The record is from RNAcentral.
AACGUAGGAGACAAACGUUAUCCGGAGUUACUGGGCGUAAAGGGCGUGUAGGCGGUUCGUUAAGUCUGGCGUGAAAGCUCUCGGCUAAACCGGGAGAGGUCGUUGGAUACUGGCGGACUAGAGGACGGUAGAGGCGUGUGGAAUUCCGGGUGUAGUGGUGAAAUGCGUAGAGAUCCGGAGGAACACCAGUGGCGAAGGCGACACGCUGGGCCGUACCUGACGCUAAAGCGCGACAGCAUGGGGAGCAAACAGG